Non-coding RNA from Pelobates cultripes (western spadefoot toad), 262 nucleotides. NCBI's taxonomy places the organism in Eukaryota, Metazoa, Chordata, Amphibia, Anura, Pelobatidae. The record is from the annotation of a GenBank genome assembly.
CCCGAACACCGGUCAAACUUAACAAACGCCUGUUUCCUUUUCCCGAACAACCAGGAGAGCGCUGUGCGGUAGUUUUGUUCCCAUGAACUAAGGGAACAAAUGCUGCUAUAAGCCGGGGGGUACUGUUCGUGUAUUUGUUCGGUUGCAAGACUUUCCAAAAUAGACCGACUGCACAACCUAAACUCAUGGAACUAUUUCUGGGUAGGAGCCUCAUGUGCGGUCGGUCAAAUUAAGACAUCCAUAAAAUUCCAAAACCCCUGAA